AAGUAAGCUAUUUAAGGAUGAAUGCCUUGGGACUAAGAGUCGAAGAAGGACGUGAUAUCCUGCGAUAAGCUUUUGGGAGCAGGAAAUUAGGCUGAGAUCCAGAGAUUUCCGAAUUGUUACCAGUAAUGUGGUAUCUUACGAGCUCAAGGGCGAACCUAGCGAACUUAAACAUCUUAGUAGCUAGAGGAAAAGAAAACAAAGAGUGAUUCCCUUGAAUAGCCCAAACCAGUUAUCUCGCACUAGGUUGAAGGAAUUAUGGUCAUCAUAAGAGUUACCAAAGCUACUCAUAGGAUAAUUGUCUGGGAAGCCAUACUAAAGAAGGUGAGAGUCCUGUAUUCGAAAUGAGUCUCUCUUUCCUAAACACGUGAAAUUUGUUGGGAAGCAGCGGGGACCACCCUGCAAGGUGAAAUACUACUUAGUCACCGAUAGUGACCGUGAGGGAAAGGGUAAAAGAACCUGCAUCUACAAGAAGUGAAAGCCUGUUUGCAGAAUGAGCCUGCGAGUUAUGAUUGUUAAACAGAGCCACAGCGAAAGCGAGUGGGCAUUAAGUCAGUGAUUUUAGACCCAAACUAGGUGAGCUAACCAUGAGCAGGUUGAAAUUAGGGUAAUACCUAGUGGAGGACCGAACCAGUUUUCGUUGUUGGAUGACUUGUGGUUAGGAGUGAAAAGCUUAUCGAACUCCCCGAAAUAGUUUUAGGACUAGCGCAAGAGUUAAAAUAAGUGGGGAUAGAGCACUGAAUAGAGAAGGGCUCCAAACCGGGUACCACCUCUAAUCAAACUCCGAAUACCCUUUCAGUGUCGUGAGGGAAACCUUGGCGAAGGUCCCUAAGUAGUAUUAGGAAGACGAAAACAGCUAGAAGGUUGGCUUAGAAGAUCCUUUAAAGAGUGCAUAAAAGCUCCAUUUUCAGCGCCGAGAAUGUAAGGGGGCUCAAAUCCUACACCGAAUAGGCUAGCUAGUCAUUUUUGUAGUGAUAGCUAGCGGUAGGGGAGCCUAGUAAUGACAGUGAAGCUAAACUGGGAGGAUCAGUGGAGUUUUGACUAGUGAGAAUGCCGGCGUGAGUAACGAAAGGGGGUGAGAAUCCUCCUGGCCGAAUGACUGAAGUGGUUAGUCGAUGGAUAAUAGGUUAAUCUUCCUGUACUCACCGUAAUUACCGAGGGAGUGACGGAGUCGGCUAAGAUAAGCUUAAUUGGUCUAAGUGUAAAGAGGGUGUGGUUGGCAAAUCCACCACAGGGUAACCUUGAAGCAUGAUGGAUAGGGCAACCGAAGUAUCUUAAUGCCUUGCUUCCAAGAAAAACUUAUAAGGAUAUAUUUAGGGUACCCGUACCGCGAACGAACAUACGUAGUAAAUGAGAAGAUCCUCAGGCCCACGAGCAAACUAUAGUUCAGGAACUCGGCAAAUUAGCCCUGUAAGUUCGCAAGAAUGGGUGCCUAGGGCAACCUAGGUCGCAGUGAAGAGGCACGAACGACUGUUUCUCAAAAACACAGCUCUAUGCUAAGGCGCAAGCUAUAGGAGGGGGCGACACCUGCCCCAGUGCUCUAAGGUUAAGAGGAGGGAUUCACUAAAAAGAAAAAAAAAUUAGUUACGUUCUGAAUUGAAGCCCGAGUGAACGGCGGCCGUAACUAGAACGAUCCAAAGGUAGCGAAAUUCCUUGUCAGGUAAGUUCUGACCCGCAUGAAAGGCGUAACGAUUCCACUAUAGACUCGGUGUAAUCUUAGUACCGGUUACCCGGAACCCGUGGAGCUUUACUGCAACUUGAUAUUGGAUUUUUUUUUUUAGGUGGGAGACCAAGACAGUGUUUAAUGGGUAGUUUUACUAGGGCGAUCGCCUCCUAAGGUUUUAAUAAGGUAUCCUAAAUAGGUAGUAAGCGUAAAGGUAAAAGGAUGCUUAACUGCGAGACAAACAAGUCGAGCAGAUACGAAAGUAGGACUUAGUGAUCCGGCGAAAGCGGUUACCUGGUGGUAGGGCCAUCGCUAAACGGAUCAAAGUGACCCCGGGGAAAAAAAAAGGCUAAUACUUUAUAAGAGACCACAUCGAUGUCGACUCAUCGCAUCCUGGAGGUGAACAAGCUUCCAAGGUUGGGGCCAUGAGUUGGGUUUCUUGAACUCCUAGUAAAGGCGAACAGCUAUUUCAGGAUUAUAUAAGCUAUAAACACUGAAGUGCGAAACUAACUUAA
This 2175-nucleotide ribosomal RNA is filed under the name Eucalyptus grandis. Its description in RNAcentral is "Bacterial large subunit ribosomal RNA". It matches the Rfam family "Bacterial large subunit ribosomal RNA", at positions 1 to 2591 of the family's 2925-position model. The record is from Rfam by way of RNAcentral. Lineage: Eukaryota; Viridiplantae; Streptophyta; Magnoliopsida; Myrtales; Myrtaceae.